Molecule: ribosomal RNA, 580 nt
Filed under: uncultured bacterium
Lineage: Bacteria
Description: bacterial SSU rRNA
Rfam family: Bacterial small subunit ribosomal RNA
Source: RNAcentral
AAUCUGCCUGGUAGUGGGGGAUAACGUUCGGAAACGGACGCUAAUACCGCAUACGUCCUACGGGAGAAAGCAGGGGACCUUCGGGCCUUGCGCUAUCAGAUGAGCCUAGGUCGGAUUAGCUAGUUGGUGGGGUAAUGGCUCACCAAGGCGACGAUCCGUAACUGGUCUGAGAGGAUGAUCAGUCACACUGGAACUGAGACACGGUCCAGACUCCUACGGGAGGCAGCAGUGGGGAAUAUUGGACAAUGGGCGAAAGCCUGAUCCAGCCAUGCCGCGUGUGUGAAGAAGGUCUUCGGAUUGUAAAGCACUUUAAGUUGGGAGGAAGGGUUGUAGAUUAAUACUCUGCAAUUUUGACGUUACCGACAGAAUAAGCACCGGCUAACUCUGUGCCAGCAGCCGCGGUAAUACAGAGGGUGCAAGCGUUAAUCGGAAUUACUGGGCGUAAAGCGCGCGUAGGUGGUUUGUUAAGUUGGAUGUGAAAUCCCCGGGCUCAACCUGGGAACUGCAUUCAAAACUGACUGACUAGAGUAUGGUAGAGGGUGGUGGAAUUUCCUGUGUAGCGGUGAAAUGCGUAGAUAUA